Small nuclear RNA from Kogia breviceps (pygmy sperm whale), 104 nucleotides. Lineage: Eukaryota; Metazoa; Chordata; Mammalia; Artiodactyla; Physeteridae. The record is from RefSeq and is a predicted model, not a curated record.
GUGCUCGCUUUGGCAGCACAUAUACUAAAAUUGGAAUGAUACAGAGAUUACCGUGGCCCCUGCACCAGGAUGACACACAAAUUUGUGAAGCGUUCCAUAUUUUU